AGAGUUUGAUCAUGGCUCAGAUUGAACGCUGGCGGCAUGCUUUACACAUGCAAGUCGAACGGUAACGCGGGGGCAACCCUGGCGACGAGUGGCGAACGGGUGAGUAAUACAUCGGAACGUGUCCUGAGGUGGGGGAUAACCUGGCGAAAGCCAAGCUAAUACCGCAUACGCUCGGGAGAGGAAAGCGGGGGAUCGGAAACGACCUCGCGUCGCAGGAGCGGCCGAUGUCCGAUUAGCUAGUUGGUGGGGUAAAGGCUUACCAAGGCGACGAUCGGUAGCUGGUCUGAGAGGAUGAUCAGCCACACUGGGACUGAGACACGGCCCAGACUCCUACGGGAGGCAGCAGUGGGGAAUUUUGGACAAUGGGGGCAACCCUGAUCCAGCCAUGCCGCGUGAGUGAAGAAGGCCUUCGGGUUGUAAAGCUCUUUCGGUGGGAACGAAACGGUUAUCCCUAACACGGGUGACUACUGACGGUACUCACAGAAGAAGCACCGGCUAACUACGUGCCAGCAGCCGCGGUAAUACGUAGGGUGCGAGCGUUAAUCGGAAUUACUGGGCGUAAAGCGUGCGCAGGCGGUGGCUCAAGCCAGGCGUGAAAUCCCCGGGCUUAACCUGGGAAUGGCGUUUGGGACUGGGUCGCUAGAGUGUGGCAGAGGGAGGUGGAAUUCCACGUGUAGCAGUGAAAUGCGUAGAGAUGUGGAGGAACACCGAUGGCGAAGGCAGCCUCCUGGGCCAGCACUGACGCUCAUGCACGAAAGCGUGGGGAGCAAACAGGAUUAGAUACCCUUGUAGUCC
RNAcentral lists this ribosomal RNA (795 nucleotides) under uncultured bacterium. Its description in RNAcentral is "bacterial SSU rRNA". It matches the Rfam family "Bacterial small subunit ribosomal RNA", at positions 8 to 796 of the family's 1533-position model. The record is from RNAcentral.